CGCCCGUCACACCAUGGGAGCUGGUAAUGCCCGAAGUCGGUUUAGUCAACUACGGAGACAACUGCCUAAGGCAGGACUGGUGACUGGGGUGAAGUCGUAACAAGGUAUCCCUACGAGAACGUGGGGAUGGAUUACCUCCUUUCUACGGAGUACACAUAAUAACAAUUUAUUGUUACUUUAAUUACCUUUUUUAUAAAACAAAUAAUUUUGUCAUGGGAUAUAUCUAGUUUUGAGAGAACUUUCUCUCUAUGUUCUUUGAAAACUGAAUAGUAAAGAUAUUAAUAUAACAACGACAUUAAAAAAUAAAUUAAUUAGUCAAUUUGUUUUGUGAUACCGAGAAAUUAUUAGAAAUAAUAAUUCGUUAAAAUGUCUUUGAAUACAUCAACAACAAUAGGAAAAUAUUGUUACAACUUUUAAAUAAGUAAGAGUUUGUGGUGGAUGCCUUGGGUCUGAAAGUCGAUGAAGGACGUGAUUACCUGCGAUAAGCCUCGUGGAGCUGGAUAUAAGCAACGAAACGGGGAUUUCCGAAUGGGGAAACCUAACUAGAGUAAUGUCUAGUUGCUAUGGAAUGAAUAAAAUAGUUCCAUUUGCGAGACACGUUGUGAACUGAAACAUCUUAGUAGCAACAGGAAGAGAAAAUAAAAAUGAUUUCAUCAGUAGCGGCGAGCGAACGUGAAAGAGCCCAAACCAGUUUUUUAAACUGGGGUUGUAGGACUAUCUACAUAAAGUUACAAAUCUUUGUUAUAGCAGAAUAGUUUGGGAAAACUAAGCACAGAGGGUGAUACUCCCGUAUGUGAAAUGGCAAGGACUUUUGAUAGUAUCCUGAGUAGGGCGGGGCACGUGAAACCCUGUCUGAAUCUGCCGGGACCAUCCGGUAAGGCUAAAUACUAAUCAGACACCGAUAGUGAACUA
Molecule: ribosomal RNA, 912 nt
Filed under: [Mycoplasma] gypis
Lineage: Bacteria; Bacillati; Mycoplasmatota; Mycoplasmoidales; Metamycoplasmataceae
Description: bacterial LSU rRNA
Rfam family: Bacterial large subunit ribosomal RNA (bases 412-912)
Source: RNAcentral